This 607-nucleotide ribosomal RNA is filed under the name uncultured Bacteroidota bacterium. Its description in RNAcentral is "bacterial SSU rRNA". It matches the Rfam family "Bacterial small subunit ribosomal RNA", at positions 8 to 610 of the family's 1533-position model. The record is from RNAcentral. Lineage: Bacteria; Pseudomonadati; Bacteroidota.
AGAGUUUGAUCAUGGCUCAGGAUGAACGCUAGCGGCAGGCUUAACACAUGCAAGUCGAGGGGCAGCACGGGUAGCAAUACCUGGUGGCGACCGGCGCAAGGGUGCGUAACGCGUGAGCAACAUGCCCUAUACAGGGGGAUAAUCCAGGGAAACUUGGUCUAAUAUCCCAUAGUAUUUAGAGGAGGCAUCUUCUAUAAAUUAAAGCUUCGGUGGUAUAGGAUUGGCUCGCGUGACAUUAGCUAGAUGGUGAGGUAACGGCUCACCAUGGCAAUGAUGUCUAGGGGUUCUGAGAGGAAGGCCCCCCACACUGGGACUGAGACACGGCCCAGACUCCUACGGGAGGCAGCAGUGAGGAAUAUUGGACAAUGGAUGGAAAUCUGAUCCAGCCAUGCCGCGUGCAGGAAGACAGCCCUAUGGGUUGUAAACUGCUUUUAUAUGGGAGCAAUAAGGUCUACGUGUAGACUGAUGAGAGUACCAUAUGAAUAAGCAUCGGCUAACUCCGUGCCAGCAGCCGCGGUAAUACGGAGGAUGCGAGCGUUAUCCGGAUUUAUUGGGUUUAAAGGGUGCGUAGGCGGCCGAGUAAGUCAGCGGUGAAAUUUUGCAGCUU